CCUACGGGUGGCAGCAGUGAGGAAUAUUGGUCAAUGGACGAGAGUCUGAACCAGCCAAGUAGCGUGAAGGAUGACUGCCCUAUGGGUUGUAAACUUCUUUUAUAUGGGAAUAAAACGUUCCACGUGUGGGAUUUUGUAUGUACCAUCUGAAUAAGGAUCGGCUAACUCCGUGCCAGCAGCCGCGGUAAUACGGAGGAUCCGAGCGUUAUCCGGAUUUAUUGGGUUUAAAGGGAGCGUAGGUGGAGUGUUAAGUCAGUUGUGAAAGUUUGCGGCUCAACCGUAAAAUUGCAGUUGAAACUGGCAGUCUUGAGUACAGUAGAGGUGGGCGGAAUUCGUGGUGUAGCGGUGAAAUGCUUAGAUAUCACGAAGAACUCCGAUUGCGAAGGCAGUUCACUGGACUGCAACUGACACUGAGGCUCGAAAGUGUGGGUAUCAAACAGGAUUAGAUACCCGAGUAGUC
This 460-nucleotide ribosomal RNA is filed under the name uncultured bacterium. RNAcentral's name for it is "partial 16S ribosomal RNA". It matches the Rfam family "Bacterial small subunit ribosomal RNA", at positions 338 to 795 of the family's 1533-position model. The record is from RNAcentral.